This 690-nucleotide ribosomal RNA is filed under the name Triticum aestivum (bread wheat). Its description in RNAcentral is "partial small subunit ribosomal RNA". Lineage: Eukaryota; Viridiplantae; Streptophyta; Magnoliopsida; Poales; Poaceae. The record is from RNAcentral.
AUGGCCGUCGCCGACGCCGACGCGGUGCUGCCGCCGCCCCCGCCCCCGCCGGCGCGGAUCGUCGUCGUGGUGCUAGCGCUCGUGCACUUGGCCCUCGCCCCGAUGCUGGCGCUCGGGGGCGUCCUCUGCAUCGCGGCGGGAGCCCUCCCCUACCUGUUCUUCGCGGUCGCGUGGGUCAUCUCUGCGGCCACGGCUGGACAGAUCGUGGCGAGCCGCGCCUGGGGCGAGAGCUCCGCCCAAUUCGUGUUCCUGCAGGCCAUAAUGUACUGGGGCCUCAAGGUCCUCAUCUACAGCAUCCUUGUGCUGGUCGCGCUUCUCGUCCUGUUGAUGUGCGUGGACUACGUGAUUGCAGUUGUAUCUGGAUCCACUUCGGCAUUCAAGAAGAGCGCAUCAGGAGCAUUCACGCGGGAGUCGGUUGCAGACAUGUUUAGGCUUCCGCGCACCGCGGUGCUUGGAUAUGUUGCGGAUGUGGCCUUCUUCCUUCUAAUGGUCGCUGGUCUUCUGGUGGCGAUGCUGUCGCCGCACGUGGAGGGUUCGAUAUCUCAGGGUGAAAUGGUUGCCUCCGUAAUCAUAGAUGUGGCACUAUUUGGUAUGCACGCGACAGCUUGCUUUGUUAUCAUCCCAGCGCUCGUUCUUAGUGUGUGGAGGGGUGGCCAGGCGGACAGGAAAGCGCCAUCGCAGUUUUGUUGA